This 1017-nucleotide ribosomal RNA is filed under the name Akanthomyces dipterigenus. Its description in RNAcentral is "SSU rRNA". It matches the Rfam family "Eukaryotic small subunit ribosomal RNA", at positions 72 to 1102 of the family's 1831-position model. Lineage: Eukaryota; Fungi; Ascomycota; Sordariomycetes; Hypocreales; Cordycipitaceae. The record is from RNAcentral.
CAUUAUACAGCGAAACUGCGAAUGGCUCAUAUAUAAGUUAUCGUUUAUUUGAUAGUACCUUACUACUUGGAUAACCGUGGUAAUUCUAGAGCUAAUACAUGCUAAAAAUCCCGACUCCGGAAGGGAUGUAUUUAUUAGAUUAAAAACCAAUGCCCUCUGGGCUCCUUGGUGAUUCAUAAUAACUUUUCGAAUCGCAUGGCCUUGCGCCGGCGAUGGUUCAUUCAAAUUUCUUCCCUAUCAACUUUCGAUGUUUGGGUAUUGGCCAAACAUGGUCGCAACGGGUAACGGAGGGUUAGGGCUCGACCCCGGAGAAGGAGCCUGAGAAACGGCUACUACAUCCAAGGAAGGCAGCAGGCGCGCAAAUUACCCAAUCCCGAUUCGGGGAGGUAGUGACAAUAAAUACUGAUACAGGGCUCUUUUGGGUCUUGUAAUUGGAAUGAGUACAAUUUAAAUCCCUUAACGAGGAACAAUUGGAGGGCAAGUCUGGUGCCAGCAGCCGCGGUAAUUCCAGCUCCAAUAGCGUAUAUUAAAGUUGUUGUGGUUAAAAAGCUCGUAGUUGAACCUUGGGCCUGGCUGGCCGGUCCGCCUCACCGCGUGCACUGGUCCGGCCGGGCCUUUCCCUCUGUGGAACCCCAUGCCCUUCACUGGGUGUGGCGGGGAAACAGGACUUUUACUUUGAAAAAAUUAGAGUGCUCCAGGCAGGCCUAUGCUCGAAUACAUUAGCAUGGAAUAAUGAAAUAGGACGUGUGGUUCUAUUUUGUUGGUUUCUAGGACCGCCGUAAUGAUUAAUAGGGACAGUCGGGGGCAUCAGUAUUCAAUUGUCAGAGGUGAAAUUCUUGGAUUUAUUGAAGACUAACUACUGCGAAAGCAUUUGCCAAGGAUGUUUUCAUUAAUCAGGAACGAAAGUUAGGGGAUCGAAGACGAUCAGAACCGUCGUAGUCUUAACCAUAAACUAUGCCGACUAGGGAUCGGACGAUGUUAUUUUUUGACGCGUUCGGCACCUUACGAGAAAUCAAA